CCGCCGGGACAGCCUAGGCGGGAGGCCUCCGUGGCACUAGAAGCCUCGGAGAGCCCCCUACAGGCGGGAGGACCCGAAAGGAAAGUACUUCUGCUCAGAUGGGCGGAGCUAGGGAGGCGGGGGCGGAAGUGACGGUGAUCCGCUGGCAAAGGCGGGUUCUUCGGCUUGCGCUAAGAGGGUGAGGUGUAGUGGGCUCUUCGUGUUUCUGGAGAAGUUAUUUUAAUAAAGGCUCGAGAACUCUGUUCUGUCACCAUGGACACGGGAUGUCGUUUAGACACUUAUUGUUUUGGGGGUCUCCUUUUCCUGCUCGAAAUAUGAGGUUUCUCUUGGAGUUUUAGCUUUGUGCCAUAGCUACAGCCUCUGACUAGGGCCCACACUGGAGCAAAGAGGUACAUGGAGAGUUUCUUGCCUUUUGGGAAGUCUGAGGUCUUCUGCCAGCGUUCUGUA
This is a long non-coding RNA of Balaenoptera musculus (blue whale), 447 nucleotides long. RefSeq lists it as uncharacterized. The record is from RefSeq and is a predicted model, not a curated record. Lineage: Eukaryota; Metazoa; Chordata; Mammalia; Artiodactyla; Balaenopteridae. The transcript has 3 exons.